CCACUUCCACAUCCAACUCCACCACUUGCACCACCACAUUCACUACCACUACCACCACAACCACCUCCUCCACCUCCAAAACCUCCACAUCCACUACCACCUCCACAACCACCACCAUGCUGCCACUACCACCACCACCACCACCACUACCACAACCACCGACUCCACCUUCAUCACAACCACUACCUCUACUCCAUCACUACCACU
RNAcentral lists this long non-coding RNA (207 nucleotides) under Prunus persica (peach). RNAcentral describes it as "long non-coding RNA (PPER_LNC007431)". Lineage: Eukaryota; Viridiplantae; Streptophyta; Magnoliopsida; Rosales; Rosaceae. The record is from RNAcentral.